Molecule: non-coding RNA, 115 nt
Organism: Triticum aestivum (bread wheat)
Lineage: Eukaryota; Viridiplantae; Streptophyta; Magnoliopsida; Poales; Poaceae
Source: Rfam
CGUGUACUCCCUCCGUCCGAAAAUACUUGUCAUUGAAAUGGAUGUAUCAAGAUGUAUUUCAGUUCUAGACACAUCCAUUUUGAUGACAAGUAAUUCCAGACGGAGGGAGUACUUG